This 188-nucleotide non-coding RNA is filed under the name chicken gut metagenome. Its description in RNAcentral is "6S / SsrS RNA". It matches the Rfam family "6S / SsrS RNA". From Rfam's summary of the family: E. coli 6S RNA was the first non coding RNA to be sequenced, but its function was unknown until recently. The record is from RNAcentral.
UUCCCUGCGUAGUGCGUAUUGGACUGGAAUUUUAGAACCAACAAAUAAAAAAACGGGAGCCCAAAUCUCUAAAUAUGGCGUGUAUGCUUACCAUUAAGAGUAAGAAACCCAUGAAUAUUUAGGAAGGCACCCACCUGUAUAGAGCAGGUCCUUAAAAUUUCAUUCAGCUUACGGCUAAGGCGGGGGAU